This 160-nucleotide ribosomal RNA is filed under the name uncultured fungus. RNAcentral's name for it is "5.8S ribosomal RNA". The record is from RNAcentral. Lineage: Eukaryota; Fungi.
UUGUUGCCUAGAGAACCAAGACCGUAGCUACUUCUUGCGUCGCUUUACGCUAUUCAUUACGCUUAACGUCUUAAAGGCACUCAGUAGCUUAGAAACUUGCGUGUAACGCGGGUAACCAUAAGGCUACCCGUACGGACAAGCUCGCAGUAAUAGGAGAGAG